Molecule: unclassified non-coding RNA, 338 nt
Filed under: uncultured fungus
Lineage: Eukaryota; Fungi
Description: partial contains 5.8S ribosomal RNA, internal transcribed spacer 2, and large subunit ribosomal RNA
Rfam family: 5.8S ribosomal RNA (bases 1-52)
Source: RNAcentral
AACGCAUCUUGCGCUCCUUGGUAUUCCGAGGAGCAUGCCUGUUUGAGUGUCAUUAAAAUUCUGUCAAAACAUGCAGUUUGAGUGUGUUUUGGAUUGUGGGAGUGUUGCUGGUUUCUCUUUAUUUGUUUAGAAAGUCCAGCUCUCCUGAAAAGGAUUAGCCAGAAUGUCUUUCUAAUCACUUCUGCCUUUUCAUUGGUGUGGUAGAUGAAUGGAAAGUUCACUAUGCCAGGAAAGCAGGUUAUAAGUGAAGGAAUCAUUUGUGGUGAUUUGUGCUCAUUAAUUGAGAAUUUAAUGAAUAACUUGGCCUCAAAUCAGGUAGGACUACCCGCUGAACUUAA